RNAcentral lists this long non-coding RNA (1235 nucleotides) under Sus scrofa (pig). RNAcentral's name for it is "lncRNA (ENSSSCG00005003500.1)". The record is from RNAcentral. Lineage: Eukaryota; Metazoa; Chordata; Mammalia; Artiodactyla; Suidae.
GGCACCUGGAAGGGCUCCCAGAGAAGGCACAUGGGCUGCUGGGCGGGGGGAAGGUGUCCCCGCUGCAGUGCCAGGAUGCAAGUUUGAUCCCUGGCCUGGCACAGUGGGUUAAAGGAUCCGGCUUUGCCGCAACUGUGGCAUGGGUCACAUCUGUGGCUCGGAUCUGACCCCUGGCCCGGGGAACUCCAUAUGCUGUGGGACGGCCAAAAAAGGAAAAACAAAAUCAAGUGACAUGAAAUAAAAUAAAAGGCUGCGGGAACUUGGACACAUAAAAAGCAUGAAGAGGGCAGGCCAGGCCGGGGCAUGGAGGCAGGGGACGAGUCUACCCUGAGCGAGAAAUGAAGAGCAAGUGUCGCCACCAGAGUGUGGGGCAAGCCCAGGGCUCUCGUCCAGGCCCCGGGACCUGCUGGGGGAGCCCAUUUCCAAACCCGAGGACAAAACCCUUGGCCUCAGUCCGGCUUCAUUUCCUGUCUGGGGCCUCUUCCCCACCUUCGGAUGGCAGCCACGUGGAACCAGGGCCUCCCCUGUGGCCAAAACAGUGUGGGAGAGGCAGCACUUCGUGGGCAUCUGAGAAGUGGCCUGGGGGUAAGAGAUCAAAGCUGGGGUAUCUCCCGGGCUCAGCAUGUGAUGUGGGGGUCCCAGCAGGUGGCACCAGGGGUUCUGCUGUGGUGCAUGGUGUUGUGUGUGAGAAACACAGGACAGACUUCACCUCCUUCAGGUGGGCUCUCAAAUGACAUCUUGGCGAGGCCUCCCCACCACUUUAGAGAAAACUGAAAGCUCCCAGCUGCACAUGCCCCUCCCGCGCCCUUCCUGCUCUACUCGCUGCCUUAGCAGGUGCCGUCCUUUGCCUUUUUUCCUUCCGUCUUUCUUUCUCUUUGUCUUUCUUUCCUUCCUUCCUCCCUCCCUCCCUCCCUCUCUCCUUCCUUUUUCUUUCUUUCUCUUAGACACCACUAGUUUAUUGGUCAGGGGAGAAUGUAACAUCCUUUAAUGUGUUAUUUUAUUUAUUUGCUUAUUGUCUGUCUCCUCCUACCAGAACAAACUCCAUCAGGGCAGGGGUCUUCAUGUUUUGUUUACCACUGCAUCCCUAGUGGCUAGGACGGUGCCCGACACAUAGUAGGUACUCAAGAAGUAUUUGUUGAAUGGAUGAGUGGAUGAAUGGAUGGAUGGAUGGGUGGGCGGAUGGAUGGGUGGAUGGGCGGAUGGAUGGAUGGAUGGAUGGGCAGGUGGAUGAGUAG